This 468-nucleotide ribosomal RNA is filed under the name uncultured bacterium. RNAcentral's name for it is "partial 16S ribosomal RNA". It matches the Rfam family "Bacterial small subunit ribosomal RNA", at positions 28 to 507 of the family's 1533-position model. The record is from RNAcentral.
GACGAACGCUGGCGGCGUGCUUAACACAUGCAAGUCGAACGGAAAGGCCCUGCUUUUGUGGGGUGCUCGAGUGGCGAACGGGUGAGUAACACGUGAGUAACCUGCCCUUGACUUUGGGAUAACUUCAGGAAACUGGGGCUAAUACCGGUUAGGAGCUCCUGCUGCAUGGUGGGGGUUGGAAAGUUUCGGCGGUUGGGGAUGGACUCGCGGCUUAUCAGCUUGUUGGUGGGGUAGUGGCUUACCAAGGCUUUGACGGGUAGCCGGCCUGAGAGGGUGACCGGCCACAUUGGGACUGAGAUACGGCCCAGACUCCUACGGGAGGCAGCAGUGGGGAAUAGUGCACAAUGGGCGGAAGCCUGAUGCAGCAACGCCGCGUGCGGGAUGACGGCCUUCGGGUUGUAAACCGCUUUCGCCUGUGACGAAGCGUGAGUGACGGUAAUGGGUAAAGAAGCACCGGCUAACUACGUG